This 74-nucleotide transfer RNA is filed under the name Vulcanimicrobiota bacterium. RNAcentral describes it as "tRNA-Arg". It matches the Rfam family "tRNA". Rfam says of the family: Transfer RNA (tRNA) molecules are approximately 80 nucleotides in length. Their secondary structure includes four short double-helical elements and three loops (D, anti-codon, and T loops). Lineage: Bacteria; Bacillati; Vulcanimicrobiota. The record is from RNAcentral.
GCGCCCGUAGCUCAAUUGGAUAGAGCGGGGGACUCCUAAGCCUCAGGCUGGCCGUUCGAAUCGGCCCGGGCGCA